CCUACGGGUGGCAGCAGUGGGGAAUAUUGGACAAUGGGGGCAACCCUGAUCCAGCCAUGCCGCGUGUGUGAAGAAGGCCCUCGGGUUGUAAAGCACUUUCAGUGAGGAAGAACGCCUGGUGGUUAAUACCCAUCAGGAAAGACAUCACUCACAGAAGAAGCACCGGCUAACUCCGUGCCAGCAGCCGCGGUAAUACGGAGGGUGCGAGCGUUAAUCGGAAUUACUGGGCGUAAAGCGCGCGUAGGUGGCUUGAUAAGCCGGUUGUGAAAGCCCCGGGCUCAACCUGGGAACGGCAUCCGGAACUGUCAAGCUAGAGUGCAGGAGAGGAAGGUAGAAUUCCCGGUGUAGCGGUGAAAUGCGUAGAGAUCGGGAGGAAUACCAGUGGCGAAGGCGGCCUUCUGGACUGACACUGACACUGAGGUGCGAAAGCGUGGGUAGCAAACAGGAUGAGAUACCCGUGUAGUC
RNAcentral lists this ribosomal RNA (465 nucleotides) under Vreelandella stevensii. RNAcentral describes it as "partial 16S ribosomal RNA". It matches the Rfam family "Bacterial small subunit ribosomal RNA", at positions 338 to 795 of the family's 1533-position model. Lineage: Bacteria; Pseudomonadati; Pseudomonadota; Gammaproteobacteria; Oceanospirillales; Halomonadaceae. The record is from RNAcentral.